RNAcentral lists this ribosomal RNA (492 nucleotides) under uncultured bacterium. RNAcentral's name for it is "partial 16S ribosomal RNA". It matches the Rfam family "Bacterial small subunit ribosomal RNA", at positions 29 to 507 of the family's 1533-position model. The record is from RNAcentral.
AGUGAACGCUGGCGGUAGGCCUAACACAUGCAAGUCGAACGGCAGCACAGUAAGAGCUUGCUCUUACGGGUGGCGAGUGGCGGACGGGUGAGGAAUACAUCGUAAUCUACUUUUUCUUGGGGGAUAACGUAGGGAAACUUACGCUAAUACCGCAUACGACCUACGGGUGAAAUCAUUGGAUCUUCGGACCUUGCGCGAUUGUAUGAGCCGAUGUCGGAUUAGCUAGUUGGCGGGGUAAAGGCCCACCAAGGCGACGAUCCGUAGCUGGUCUGAGAGGAUGAUCAGCCACACUGGAACUGAGAAACGGUCAAGAGACCUACGGGAGGCAGCAGUGGGGAAUAUUGGACAAUGGGCGCAAGCCUGAUCCAGCAAUACCGCGUGGGUGAAGAAGGACUUCGGGUUGUAAAGCACUUUUGUUGGGAAAGAAAAGCAGCAGGUUAAUACCCCGAUGUUCUGACGGUACCAAAAGAAUAAGCACCGGCUAACUUCGUG